Molecule: ribosomal RNA, 437 nt
Filed under: Salmonella enterica
Lineage: Bacteria; Pseudomonadati; Pseudomonadota; Gammaproteobacteria; Enterobacterales; Enterobacteriaceae
Also listed under: 2 other names
Description: bacterial LSU rRNA
Rfam family: Bacterial large subunit ribosomal RNA
Source: RNAcentral
AAUCCAUAGGUUAAUGAGGCGAACCGGGGGAACUGAAACAUCUAAGUACCCCGAGGAAAAGAAAUCAACCGAGAUUCCCCCAGUAGCGGCGAGCGAACGGGGAGGAGCCCAGAGCCUGAAUCAGCAUGUGUGUUAGUGGAAGCGUCUGGAAAGGCGCGCGAUACAGGGUGAGAGCCCCGUACACAAAAGCGCACGUGCUGUGAGCUCGAUGAGUAGGGCGGGACACGUGGUAUCCUGUCUGAAUAUGGGGGGACCAUCCUCCAAGGCUAAAUACUCCUGACUGACCGAUAGUGAACCAGUACCGUGAGGGAAAGGCGAAAAGAACCCCGGCGAGGGGAGUGAAACAGAACCUGAAACCGUGUACGUACAAGCAGUGGGAGCCCCACCACUAAGCCAGUGGUGAACUCCACAUACGCAUCCUUUGCUGAGGAUACGGU